Molecule: long non-coding RNA, 867 nt
Organism: Entelurus aequoreus (snake pipefish)
Lineage: Eukaryota; Metazoa; Chordata; Actinopteri; Syngnathiformes; Syngnathidae
Exons: 4
Source: RefSeq, a predicted model, not a curated record
CAGAAAGAGGUGCCAGCAGGCAAGAAAAGUGAGUUUAGUUCAGGCACCUUCUUGGGCAGCUGGGUCUUUAAGCUAAGGGGUCCUCGGGAGGACAUGUUGAAUGUUUAGCAGCAGUUGUGCUUCAUUCUGCGUUUUGUGUUAAAGGGCGGGCGUGUUGCACUUCAAAGGCAACCUGCGACACAGAGUUUCCAUGAGGUCUGCAAGCGGACGUGAUUGAGGACCCCGCAAGGCGAGCAGAGACAAGGCAGUUCUUGUUGGUGGCUCACCUUGUAGUAAAGAGGGAAGGAGACGUUCCCAAACCAGUCGUACUGGAUAUGGUCCCACCACACGUACAACCACUUUCCUGUCCAGGAGAUGAAGCGCCACAUCCUGGGAGGAUCGGGUGGCGCUGGAGACAACACCGUGACAGGGAGAAGACGCCGUCGAAGGUGAACCACGCAGGUAAGACCGCCCACAAAACGACGCAUCCUGAAGAGACGCUCAGAAAGCUACUUGAAAAUGGUCUGUAAAACAUCAUCUAUGCAACACUUUCACCAAAGAACCACCAUCACAUGUUAUGUAGACCACAAGAUAGUGUUUUAAAUUUAGACAAUAUGACCCCUUUAAAGGCCUACUGAAAUGAAUUUUUUUUAUUUAAACGGGGAUAGCAGAUCUAUUCUAUGUGUCAUACUUGAUCAUUUCGCGAUAUUGCCAUAUUUUUGCUGAAAGGAUUUAGUAGAGAACAACGACGAUAAAGAUUGCAACUUUUGGUAUCUGAUAAAAAAAAGGCUUGCCCCUACCGGAAGUAGCGUGACGUAGUCAGUUGAACAUAUACGCAAAGUUCCCUAUUGUUUACAAUGAUGGCCGCAUGAAGUGAGAGAGAUUCGG